AACGUAGGAGACAAACGUUAUCCGGAGUUACUGGGCGUAAAGGGCGCGUAGGCGGUUGGAUAAGUCUUGUGUGAAAUCUUCGGGCUCAACUCGAAGUCUGCACGAGAAACUAUCUGGCUUGAGUGUGGGAGAGGUGAGUGGAAUUCCUGGUGUAGCGGUGAAAUGCGUAGAUAUCAGGAGGAACACCUGUGGCGAAAGCGGCUCACUGGACCACAACUGACGCUGAGGCGCGAAAGCUAGGGGAGCAAACAGG
Molecule: ribosomal RNA, 253 nt
Filed under: uncultured bacterium
Lineage: Bacteria
Description: partial 16S ribosomal RNA
Rfam family: Bacterial small subunit ribosomal RNA
Source: RNAcentral